UACGUAGGGUGCGAGCGUUGUCCGGAAUCAUUGGGCGUAAAGCGCGUGUAGGCGGUUCGGUAAGUCCGCUGUGAAAGUCGGGGGCUCAACCCUCGAAAGCCGGUGGAUACUGUCGGACUAGAGUGCGGAAGAGGCGAGUGGAAUUCCUGGUGUAGCGGUGAAAUGCGCAGAUAUCAGGAGGAACACCAAUUGCGAAGGCAGCUCGCUGGGACGUUACUGACGCUGAGGCGCGAAAGCUAGGGGAGCGAACAGG
Molecule: ribosomal RNA, 253 nt
Filed under: uncultured bacterium
Lineage: Bacteria
Description: partial 16S ribosomal RNA
Rfam family: Bacterial small subunit ribosomal RNA
Source: RNAcentral